CAUGGAGGGUGAGAAUCCCGUUCAUGGUUAAUUCUAAGAUGCUCUAUGAUGCGUUUUCGAAGAGUCGAGUUGUUUGGGAUUGCAGCUCAAAAUGGGAGGUAAAUUUCUCCUAAGGCUAAAUAUUGGCGAGAGACCGAUAGCGAACAAGUACCGUGAGGGAAAGAUGAAAAGAACUUUGAAAAGAGAGUUAAACAGUACGUGAAAUUGUUGAAAGGGAAACGAUUGAAGUCAGUCGUACCAGCGGGAAAUCAACCUUUCGAGUGGGGUUUUGGAGUUUUGAAGUGUGUCAAAACCUUGGGGAUUUCAAAAUUUUCGCUCUUCUGGUGUACUUUCUCGCAGGUAGGUUAACAUCGAUUUUGAUCAUCAUAAAAGGAUCGGAGGAAUGUAGCUUCGAUCUCGUAUUGAAGUGUUAUAGCCUUUGGUAAAUGUGAUGAUUAGGAUCGAGGAUUGCAACGAAUACCCUUUUGGGCUAUCCGCCUGAUCUCUGAUACGUGGCCUUGGUAUUGAAAGCGUGCUUACGAUAUAAAGGUAUUACGGUCAAAAGGUUAGAACGGAUUACAUUCGUUAAGGAUGUUGACGUAAUGG
Molecule: ribosomal RNA, 585 nt
Filed under: uncultured Septoglomus
Lineage: Eukaryota; Fungi; Glomeromycota; Glomeromycetes; Glomerales; Glomeraceae
Description: LSU rRNA
Rfam family: Eukaryotic large subunit ribosomal RNA
Source: RNAcentral